ACUAGAAUGAANGGCUAAAUGAGGACUACUCUGUCUCUCACGGGUAACCAAUGAAAUUAAUCUUCUAGUUCAAAAGCUAGGAUAAACACAUAAGACGAGAAGACCCUGUGGAGCUUCAAAACCANGACCACCAGACAUGCUUCCUCGGAUUUUUAGUUGGGGCGACUUCGGAGCAUAAAAAACCCUCCAAAUAUAUUUUUGUUAAGAUUAACACAUCAAAAUAACUAUAUCAGACCCAGCAAUUUUACUUAAAUGUCUGAUCAAUGAACCAAGUUACCCCAGGGAUAACAGCGCCAUCCCCUCCCAGAGUCCAUAUCGACAAGGGGGUUUACGACCUCGAUGUUGGAUCAGGACAUCCCAAUGGUGCAGCCGCCAUUAAAG
Molecule: ribosomal RNA, 381 nt
Filed under: Archaeolacerta bedriagae (Bedriaga's rock lizard)
Lineage: Eukaryota; Metazoa; Chordata; Lepidosauria; Squamata; Lacertidae
Description: partial 16S ribosomal RNA
Rfam family: Archaeal large subunit ribosomal RNA
Source: RNAcentral